ACGACAACGUGUGGCGGCCGGGCAUUUGUAGUAGUGCAUGUGUUCGCAUUGUUAGCAAAUGUGAAAGACAUGGUGUGGAGUUCCAUCUUACACUGACAGCUACACCUUAAGUCUCCAACCAUCAGAGUUGAUGUUUGAAUCUGUGGUCACCUCAUAACACUGUUUGGACUGGAGCUCACCUGUGCUGCCGCCAAAGCUCAGCUGUCAAGGGUGGCCGGCGGACGCGUCGUCCGGACGCC
Pollicipes pollicipes is the source of this 239-nucleotide long non-coding RNA. RefSeq lists it as uncharacterized. The record is from RefSeq and is a predicted model, not a curated record. The transcript has 3 exons. Lineage: Eukaryota; Metazoa; Arthropoda; Thecostraca; Pollicipedomorpha; Pollicipedidae.